CGCUCUUGUUUCUCUUCAUCUCGUAUAAAUCUUUCGCCUUUUACUAAAGAUUUCCGUGGAGAGGAACAACAAGAGUAUAUCACAAUUUUUUGAUGCCCUACAUUUGUAGGGCU
This 113-nucleotide small nuclear RNA is filed under the name Amphilophus citrinellus (Midas cichlid). RNAcentral describes it as "U5 spliceosomal RNA (ENSACIG00000022999.1)". It matches the Rfam family "U5 spliceosomal RNA". Rfam says of the family: U5 RNA is a component of both types of known spliceosome. The precise function of this molecule is unknown, though it is known that the 5' loop is required for splice site selection and p220 binding, and that both the 3' stem-loop and the Sm site are important for Sm protein binding and cap methylation. The record is from RNAcentral. Lineage: Eukaryota; Metazoa; Chordata; Actinopteri; Cichliformes; Cichlidae.